GCUUAACGCGAAGAACCUUACCUGGGCUAGAAAGCGCAAGAACCUCGGUGAAAACUGAGGGUGCCCUUUGGGGAACUUGUGAUUAGGUGCUGCAUGGCUGUCGUCAGCUCGUGUCGUGAGAUGUUGGGUUAAGUCCCGCAACGAGCGCAACCCUUGCUGUUAGUUGCCAUCAUUAAGUUGGGCACUCUAACAGGACUGCCGACCUUUAAGUCGGAGGAAGGUGGGGAUGACGUCAAGUCCUCAUGGCCCUUACGUCCAGGGCUACACACGUGCUACAAUGAACGGUACAAAGGGUCGCGAAACCGUGAGGUGGAGCCAAUCCCAAAAAGCCGUUCUCAGUACGGAUAAGAGUCUGCAACUCGACUCUUUGAAGGCGGAAUCGCUAGUAAUCCCUGAUCAGCAUAGCAGGGG
This 411-nucleotide ribosomal RNA is filed under the name uncultured bacterium. RNAcentral's name for it is "bacterial SSU rRNA". It matches the Rfam family "Bacterial small subunit ribosomal RNA", at positions 954 to 1362 of the family's 1533-position model. The record is from RNAcentral.